Molecule: ribosomal RNA, 53 nt
Filed under: thelephoraceous ectomycorrhiza S68
Lineage: Eukaryota; Fungi; Basidiomycota; Agaricomycetes; Thelephorales; Thelephoraceae
Description: partial 28S ribosomal RNA
Source: RNAcentral
GUUUGAUCUCAAAUCAGGUAGGACUACCCGCUGAACUUAAGCAUAUCAAUAAG